This is a long non-coding RNA of Cyprinus carpio carpio, 498 nucleotides long. The record is from Ensembl. NCBI's taxonomy places the organism in Eukaryota, Metazoa, Chordata, Actinopteri, Cypriniformes, Cyprinidae.
UUUGUGAUGUUAAAUUGCGAAGAUCUUGAGGUUUCGUUUAAGGGCGUGUCUGUGGCGGCCUUACAAAUUUCGAUGUUUCGCCAUGAGAAAGGAAGUUGCUAUAACUCAGACAUACAAUGUCCAAUCUGCCCCAAACUUCACAUGUUUGAGAAGACUCCUGACCUGAAUAUAUCUACAUGCCAAUAUUCAGAUAUCGCUAUAGCGCCACCUGCUGGCAACAGGAAGUGACAUGUUUUACGCCGUAACAAACUACUCCUAGAAAUUUUAUGACAUUUUAUAAUUUUUUUUGGUCAGUCUAAUCUAAAGGCCUUUGCGAUGUUAAAUUGUGAACAUCUUGAGGUUUCAUUAAAGGGUGUGACCAUGGCGCCGUGACAAAGUUUGAUGUCUCGCCAUGGGAAUAGAAGUUGUUGUAACUCAGGCAUAAGAUGUCCGAUCUUCCCCAAACUUCACAUGUUCGAAAAGAGUCUUGGCCUGAACACAUCUGAAGGUCAUUAUUCC